UACGGGAGUGGCAAGCGUUAUCCGGAAUUAUUGGGCGUAAAGCGUCCGCAGGCGGUUUUACAAGUCUGUCGUUAAAGCGUGGAGCUUAACUCCAUUUCAGCGAUGGAAACUGUAAGACUAGAGUGUGGUAGGGGCAGAGGGAAUUCCCGGUGUAGCGGUGAAAUGCGUAGAUAUCGGGAAGAACACCAGUGGCGAAGGCGCUCUGCUGGGCCAUAACUGACGCUCAUGGACGAAAGCCAGGGGAG
RNAcentral lists this ribosomal RNA (245 nucleotides) under uncultured Cyanobacterium sp. Its description in RNAcentral is "partial 16S ribosomal RNA". It matches the Rfam family "Bacterial small subunit ribosomal RNA", at positions 524 to 768 of the family's 1533-position model. The record is from RNAcentral. Lineage: Bacteria; Bacillati; Cyanobacteriota; Cyanophyceae; Chroococcales; Geminocystaceae.